CUAUGCGCCUUGCCAGCCCGCUCAGGUGUGCCAGCAGCCGCGGUAAUACGUAGGUGGCAAGCGUUAUCCGGAUUUACUGGGUGUAAAGGGCGUGUAGGCGGGAAAGCAAGUCAGAUGUGAAAACCAUGGGCUCAACCUGUGGCCUGCAUUUGAAACUGUUUUUCUUGAGUACUGGAGAGGCAGACGGAAUUCCUAGUGUAGCGGUGAAAUGCGUAGAUAUUAGGAGGAACACCAGUGGCGAAGGCGGUCUGCUGGACAGCAACUGACGCUGAGGCACGAAAGCGUGGGUAUCGAACAGG
This 299-nucleotide ribosomal RNA is filed under the name uncultured bacterium. Its description in RNAcentral is "partial 16S ribosomal RNA". It matches the Rfam family "Bacterial small subunit ribosomal RNA", at positions 475 to 776 of the family's 1533-position model. The record is from RNAcentral.